Molecule: small RNA, 261 nt
Filed under: Triticum aestivum (bread wheat)
Lineage: Eukaryota; Viridiplantae; Streptophyta; Magnoliopsida; Poales; Poaceae
Rfam family: U1 spliceosomal RNA (bases 101-261)
About the family: U1 is a small nuclear RNA (snRNA) component of the spliceosome (involved in pre-mRNA splicing). Its 5' end forms complementary base pairs with the 5' splice junction, thus defining the 5' donor site of an intron.
Source: RNAcentral
CAGGUUGGUUAGGGCAAAUUUUGUUUAGUCCCACAUCGCUCGUCCACAGCAGGAGGCACGACGAAGAGGCUAUAAAAGGGACCAGCUGCUACCUCAAUCCUCACUUACCUGGACGGGGUCAAUGACCUAUCAAGAAGGCUCAUGGCCUAGGUUAGCAGCCUCCAUUGCACUUCGGAGGAGUGCUGGCUUACCAUCUCCCUAAGUGGGAGAAUGGAUGUCAUAAUUUGUGCUAGUAGGGUUACGCGUCCGCGCGGCCCUUGC